CCUCAGUAGAAAUCGUGCCCAUGAGCCAGCCCAGUUCCGAGUAGCAGACAAGACUGGACCAAGGACUGGCCAGGGCCAUGGCUACAGUCCAGUGGCUGGCAAAGAGGAAAAACAAGACAGCAGUGAGCUCGAGAGCCUCUGGAAGCAAAGCCAGCUGCAUCCUCUUCGACCCCAGUUCUCCAAGCCCACGUGACCAUUCCCUUCUGCCCUUCCAUGCUAUUAAAAGCUAGGGGACUGGCUAUUGGCACCAGCUGCUUCUGAUGCCACUGAACUCUGCUGUCUUCCUAUAUACAAGGCAAAGGGACCCCUUUGGCCUCUAUCAGCCCCGCAGCCCCACUGCCCCAGCUCCCAUCCCAGUCCUCUUCCUCCUUAACCUUCUUCCCAGUCUUGCUUUCUCUACACCCUCCUUUCUUUCCUUUUCCACCUAAAAUCCUACCCUAGGCCCUUCCUCCUCCCACUUUCCAUUUAACA
Molecule: long non-coding RNA, 471 nt
Filed under: Homo sapiens (human)
Lineage: Eukaryota; Metazoa; Chordata; Mammalia; Primates; Hominidae
Description: HSALNT0124477
Source: RNAcentral